This 343-nucleotide ribosomal RNA is filed under the name Apanteles sp. Rodriguez17. RNAcentral describes it as "eukaryotic LSU rRNA". It matches the Rfam family "Eukaryotic large subunit ribosomal RNA", at positions 340 to 633 of the family's 3401-position model. Lineage: Eukaryota; Metazoa; Arthropoda; Insecta; Hymenoptera; Braconidae. The record is from RNAcentral.
GCGAACAAGUACCGUGAGGNANAGUUGAAAAGAACUUUGAAGAGAGAGUUCAAGAGUACGUGAAACCGUUCAGGGGUAAACCUGUGAAACCCAAAAGAUCGAAUGAGGAGAUUCAUCGUCAGCGUAAUCAGUAUUAAUGCAGGCUAUGAUGUGAUAAUAGAAUCCUCGUGGUCACUAGAUUAUACUUGCUUGUGUUAUUUUUGCUGGGUGCGUCGGCGUGCACUUCUCCUCUAGUAGAACGUCGCAACCCGUUGGAUGUUUAUCUAUGGCCUGAUUGGUAGCCUUUGAUAUAAUUUUAUAUUGAAGACCUUUUGGUGUCCUGAUAAACUGUCUGACGGUAUAC